Molecule: ribosomal RNA, 207 nt
Filed under: uncultured bacterium
Lineage: Bacteria
Description: partial 16S ribosomal RNA
Rfam family: Bacterial small subunit ribosomal RNA
Source: RNAcentral
UCUCAGUUCGGAUCGGAGUCUGCAACCCGACUCCGUGAAGCUGGAUUCGCUAGUAAUCGCGCAUCAGCCAUGGCGCGGUGAAUACGUUCCCGGGCCUUGUACACACCGCCCGUCAAGCCAUGGAAGCCGGGGGCGCUUGAAGUGCGUUGCCGCAAGGCGCGCCCUAGAGCGAAACCGGUGACUGGGGCUAAGUCGUAACAAGGUAAC